AAGGCUUUAAGUUAAAUAAACUAAUAGCCUUCAAAGCUGUAAAUAUAGAGAAUUCUUUAAGCCUUA
RNAcentral lists this transfer RNA (66 nucleotides) under Scaptomyza elmoi. RNAcentral's name for it is "tRNA-Trp". It matches the Rfam family "tRNA". Rfam says of the family: Transfer RNA (tRNA) molecules are approximately 80 nucleotides in length. Their secondary structure includes four short double-helical elements and three loops (D, anti-codon, and T loops). The record is from RNAcentral. Lineage: Eukaryota; Metazoa; Arthropoda; Insecta; Diptera; Drosophilidae.